GACGAACGCUGGCGGCGCGCCUCAUACAUGCAAGUCGAACGAAAACUCGGAGCUUGCUCCGGGUGGACAGUGGCGAACGGGUGAGUAACACGUGAGAAACCUGCCCCGAAGACCGGGACAACACCGGGAAACCGGUGCUAAUACCGGAUGUCCUUACCGGACCGCAUGAUCUGGUAAGGAAAUGGAUUCCGCUUCGGGAUGGUCUCGCGGCCUACCAGCUUGUUGGCGGGGUAAUGGCCCACCAAGGCACGACGGGUAGCUGGUCUGAGAGGAUGUCCAGCCACACUGGGACUGAGACACGGCCCAGACUCCUACGGGAGGCAGCAGUAGGGAAUCUUGCACAAUGGACGAAAGUCUGAUGCAGCGACGCCGCGUGUGGGAUGAAUGCCUUCGGGUUGU
RNAcentral lists this ribosomal RNA (399 nucleotides) under uncultured bacterium. RNAcentral's name for it is "bacterial SSU rRNA". It matches the Rfam family "Bacterial small subunit ribosomal RNA", at positions 28 to 426 of the family's 1533-position model. The record is from RNAcentral.